Molecule: long non-coding RNA, 263 nt
Filed under: Bos taurus (domestic cattle)
Lineage: Eukaryota; Metazoa; Chordata; Mammalia; Artiodactyla; Bovidae
Description: long non-coding RNA NONBTAT024161
Source: RNAcentral
GGAUUUUGGCUAGCCAGAGAAGGAGCCUGCUGUAGGAACUGAUACACUGUUUCCAGAAUAGCUCUAAAAACCUAGAGCCUCUGGAGUACUGUCUCUGCUGAAUCCAUCAUUUGUUAAAAUGUGCUUCUCAGGUGAGUUCAGAUGCUCUUAUCCUCACUUUUUUGUUAGAAAGAACCAUUGACAUGUUCCUCAAUAAUUUUGGCAUACGACUUGAAACAUCCCCUGUUAGAACCAGAGUGAUCUGGAAUAGGUAAUGCAUUUCC